Molecule: ribosomal RNA, 503 nt
Filed under: uncultured bacterium
Lineage: Bacteria
Description: partial 16S ribosomal RNA
Rfam family: Bacterial small subunit ribosomal RNA
Source: RNAcentral
GAUGAACGCUGGCGGCAGGCUUAACACAUGCAAGUCGAGCGGGGUGAUGGUGCUUGCACUAUCACUUAGCGGCGGACGGGUGAGUAAUGCUUAGGAAUCUGCCUAUUAGUGGGGGACAACAUAUCGAAAGGGAUGCUAAUACCGCAUACGUCCUACGGGAGAAAGCAGGGGACCACUUGUGACCUUGCGCUAAUAGAAGAGCCUAAGUCGGAUUAGCUAGUUGGUGGGGUAAAGGCCUACCAAGGCGACGAUCUGUAGCGGGUCUGAGAGGAUGAUCCGCCACACUGGGACUGAGACACGGCCCAGACUCCUACGGGAGGCAGCAGUGGGGAAUAUUGGACAAUGGGGGGAACCCUGAUCCAGCCAUGCCGCGUGUGUGAAGAAGGCCUUAUGGUUGUAAAGCACUUUAAGCGAGGAGGAGGCUUACCUAGUUAAUACCUGGGAUAAGUGGACGUUACUCGCAGAAUAAGCACCGGCUAACUCUGUGCCAGCCGCCGCAGUAA